RNAcentral lists this ribosomal RNA (441 nucleotides) under uncultured bacterium. RNAcentral's name for it is "partial 16S ribosomal RNA". It matches the Rfam family "Bacterial small subunit ribosomal RNA", at positions 338 to 795 of the family's 1533-position model. The record is from RNAcentral.
CCUACGGGAGGCAGCAGUGGGGAAUAUUGGGCAAUGGGCGCAAGCCUGACCCAGCAACGCCGCGUGAAGGAUGAAGGUUUUCGGCUUGUAAACUUCUGUCGCGCGGGCCGAAGAAUGACGGUACCUCGUAAGAAAGCCCCGGCUAAAUACGUGCCAGCAGCCGCCGUAAUACGUAGGGGGGAAGCGUUGUCCGGAAUGACUGGGGGUAAAGGGAGUGUAGGCGGAUCAUGCAGUUAGAUGUGAAAUCCCGCGGCGUAAACGCGGAACUGCAUCUAAAACUGGUAAGCUGGAGUGCAGGAGAGGUGAGUGGAAUGCCUAGUGUAGCGGUGGAAUGCGUAGAUAUUAGGAGGAACACCAGAGGCGAAGGCGACUCACUGGACUGUAACUGACGCUGAGGCUCGAAAGCGUGGGUAGCAAACAGGAUUAGAUACCCUGGUAGUC